Molecule: small RNA, 105 nt
Filed under: Escherichia coli
Lineage: Bacteria; Pseudomonadati; Pseudomonadota; Gammaproteobacteria; Enterobacterales; Enterobacteriaceae
Description: partial RtT sRNA
Rfam family: RtT RNA
About the family: This family represents a bacterial cis-regulatory element known as RtT RNA. The exact function of RtT is unknown although it is thought that it may be involved in changing the cellular response in relation to amino acid starvation.
Source: RNAcentral
AGCUUCGACCAAGGUGCGACUCGAGCGCCAGCGAGAGAGCGUUGCCGCAGGCAACGACCCGAAGGGCGAAGCGCGCAGCGCUGAGUAAUCCUUCCCCCACCACCA